GACGAACGCUGGCGGCGUGCCUAACACAUGCAAGUCGAACGGAGUCGGCCCCGCAAGGGACUGACUUAGUGGCGAACGGGUGAGUAACGCGUGAGCAACCUGCCUUUCAGUGGGGGACAACAGUUGGAAACGACUGCUAAUACCGCAUAAUGCAUUUUGACCGCAUGAUCGAGAUGCCAAAGAUUUAUUGCUGAAAGAUGGGCUCGCGUCUGAUUAGAUAGUUGGUGAGGUAACGGCCCACCAAGUCGACGAUCAGUAGCCGGACUGAGAGGUUGAACGGCCACAUUGGGACUGAGAUACGGCCCAGACGCCUACGGGAGGCAGCAGUGGGGAAUAUUGGGAAAUGGGGGAAACCCUGACCCAGCAACGCCGCGUGAAGGAAGAAGGCUUUCGGGUUGUAAACUUCUUUUACCAGGGACGAAGAAAGUGACGGUACCUGGAGAAAAAGCCACGGCUAACUACGUG
This 465-nucleotide ribosomal RNA is filed under the name uncultured bacterium. Its description in RNAcentral is "partial 16S ribosomal RNA". It matches the Rfam family "Bacterial small subunit ribosomal RNA", at positions 28 to 507 of the family's 1533-position model. The record is from RNAcentral.